GGCGGGGGGGGGAGGUUGGAGGGGAAGGUAGUCACGGAGGGGUGACAGCUACAGGAGGUGGAGGAUCCUGGAGGUAACAGCAAGGAGAGUACGCGACGGCGAGGGGCGGCUUCUGAGCCGACGCCGGGCGGUCAAGCCAGAGGAAAGCAGGGAACGCUGCGGCGUUGCGGGCUUGCCCCGCCCGGGCGGGGGGUGCCAUGUCUCGAGAGCGGCCCCCCCGCACCGACAUCCCCCGCAACCUGAGCUUCAUAGCCGCCUUAACAGAGCGUGCCUACUACCGCAGCCAGCGGCCCAGCCUCGAGGAGGAGCCGGAGGUGGAGCCAGGCGAGGGCGGGACGCGCCUUGGGGCCCGAUCCCGCGCUCACGCUCCGAGUAGGGGUCGCCGGGCCCUUUCUGCACCUGCCGGAGGCGGCGGGGUCCGGGCGCCCCGCAGCCGCAGCCCGGACACCCGUAAGAGAGUGCGUUUCGCCGACGCGCUUGGGCUGGAGCUGGCCGCGGUGCGCCGCUUCCGCCCCGGAGAGCUGCCCCGGGUGCCCCGCCACGUGCAAAUCCAGCUGCAGAGGGACGCCCUCCGCCACUUCGGGCCGUGCCAGCCUCGCGCCCGCGGCCUCCAGGAGGCGCGCGCCGCCCUGGAGCCGGCCAGCGAGCCCGGCUUUGCCGCCCGCUUGCAGGCGCAGCGCAUCUGCCUGGAACGCGCCGAGGCGGGCCCGCUGGGCGUGGCCGGGAGCGCGCGCGUGCUGGACCUGGCGUACGAGAAGCGCGUGAGCGUGCGCUGGAGCGCCGACGGCUGGCGGAGCCAACGCGAGGCACCCGCCUCUUACGCCGGCCCGGCACCGCCCCCGCCGCGCGCAGACCGCUUCGCAUUCCGCCUUCCAGCGCCACCCAUUGGGGGCGCCCUGCUUUUCGCCCUGCGCUACCGCGUGACUGGCCACGAGUUCUGGGACAACAACGGCGGCCGUGACUAUGCUCUACGAGGGCCCGAGCAUCCCGGGAGUGGCGGAAACCCGGAGCCCCAGGGAUGGAUCCACUUUAUCUGAGACGCCUGGGUCGACGGCGGGAAAAUCAAAGGCACCCAGGGGCUGGGGGAGCCCGAAGAUUUGGCGGGGAGGAAUGAAAGAAACGGAGAUUGGCUGGGAGCUGUCCAAGAGAGUCAAAAGGGGUGGAGAACCUACUUCCUUUUCUCCAAGACCAUGAUUCAUCCACCUUCCUCCCUCAGGCUCCUUCUUGACAGUCUUCUAGAAGGGAGAAGAGUGAAAAGAAGCAGUUCCUGAUGCAGAUGAACAGCCGCUCCCAGGUAAACCAGCUCCCCACACCCUUUUCUAUCUAUUACUAGUUUCUCAAAAAUGUCUGAAUCCCCCUCUUAUUACCGAGUCAGAGAGUGCAUGCAUACAUGCCCAUACAUGCAUUCGGAACAGAGUAUGGGGCAUAUUACCAGGCCCCUCCUUUCCAAAGCUUUAGUCCUUUGAAGGAAGAUGGCCAAAAGAGAGGAACCCCGAGUCGCUCCUCAAAGAAGUGCCGGUUUAAACAGCAUCCUUACGUGAAGAAGAAAACAAAGAAUUUCAUGCAACUUGUGGAUCACCUUCAGGUCAAAGUUCCAGCAAAGUGAAGAAAGAACCUCCUGGAAGCCACCAAGCAAUGCGCUUUUUAGUCAUCAAUGAAGAGCCCAAGGAAGGAUGAUGGAGAGGGAGCCUAGGUCGGGGCUCAUUGUAUACUAAUCUCUUGCCUAAUGUGUUUGCACUAUUGUCAUGUCGUAUUAACAAUCGUAAUAGCUCA
Lutra lutra (Eurasian river otter) is the source of this 1773-nucleotide RNA transcript. It is a transcript of the gene named protein phosphatase 1 regulatory subunit 3E, with no coding region annotated. The record is from RefSeq and is a predicted model, not a curated record. The transcript has 3 exons. Lineage: Eukaryota; Metazoa; Chordata; Mammalia; Carnivora; Mustelidae.